AAAGAGGGAGGAAAAGAGGAAUGAAGGAGGGAAGGAUGUGCACAGGAGGGAGGGUUAGCGAAGAAAGGGGGAAUGGAGGAGGGAGGUACGGAGGAGGCAAGCCGGAGGGGCAGGCAGGAGAGGAGGAGAAGAAAGGGGGCAUAAGAGGAAGCAGCACGGAUGGGCGGAGGGGCAGCGAGAGAAGAGCGGGGUUCCUGCCUGCUAUUCUGCCUUCCCUGGUUCCUCUGGACUUGCGAAGAUUGAUCCUCAGUGGUCUGAUGGCUUCUUUGAUGUGUCUGAGGGUAGCCUAACAGGCAGAAGAAGACCCAAACAUCUGAAGAAUGUGCCUGGGAUGUGACUCUUCAGCAGACACCAAAUGCACUCCAGAAAAGAAGCACUGAAAGUAUCGCUUUAGUAUGAAUGAACCUGCCCUACCUACUGAACUUUUCAACUUAUUUUACAGUUACUGAAGGAACACAUUAAAGGCAAGAGUCAGAAGUGACUAUAAAUUAUCUCAGUGGCCAAGAAAGACUUGCUCCCCAUGCUCUUGCUCCCAUCCUUCCUGAUCCACGUGUUCUUGUCUCCUCAAGCACCCAUCCUUCCUUGUUCAGGUUAUAACAGGCUUCGUUGUGAAUUGACAUGAUCCACUGCUGACUGAAUGUGGUUCCCAAAAAGACCUCAUUAGCUGUGGAGCUGGCAUGGCACAAGCAUCAGGAGUGAGUGGUCAGUGCUGGGGCAGAAAGGAAGGGUGGGAAGGGCAGGUAGCAGUGUACAUCAGCUGUGGAGGGGUGUUGAGUCAGCUUCCUAGAGCUGUGGAACCAUCCCUCAAAGAUGAACAGUCUGUCUUGCAACUAAUGACAGUGAAAAUACUAACUAAUAAGGUUCUAUAAACUCUGGUUAACAGUGUUGCUAAAAUUACUAAUGAAGGCAAAAACUGGAAGGUAAUGUUCUUCAAGCCUGUCUUUGCUGCAGGUAUUCCACUGAUAAUGGAGUAAUAUGCAGUUGAAACUUAAUUGGAACACUAAGGAAAGCUUGAACUAUUUAUGGUAUUUAAUAAUUUAAUAGUACAAAGUGCACUGAUUGUAGUAGUAUUAAUUUUUCUAUUUAAUUUAAUUAUUACUUAUAUUUCUUAAUUAAUAAUGCAAGAGUGUAUUUUUGUGUAGCACUUUUUUUUGUGUAGUUUACAUUUUGCACCAGAAUUUAAUCAAGAUCUUCCUGUUGCUUGUAAAAAAUGAAUACAUUCUGGUAUACACACAUUCUGAACACUUGCUCAAUUCUGUCAUCUAUGAGAUCCCUGCAAGGCUCAUAAAGAUGAUCUUAUCACUAAAUAUUUAUUCCAGGAUGUGUAAGAGCCCUCUAAUUUUUACAUUCUUAUGUUUACAACACUCAGGUAAAAACAGGGUGUUUUAUUUCUCCCACUACAGCUGGGAUAUCAAAGCACAGAGAUGUUAAAGUCUGUACUCAAAAAGGUUAUUUAAGAUCAUGCAUCCCACUAGAUGACCUGCCUAGAGUGCUAAGAAAAUCUUUUGUGGAGCAAGCACUGAACUUACAUUUGCCAAAUCCAGGAGGAUCUUCCUUACUACUGGACUUACUGUCUCACUAAGAUUGCAUUAAAGAGUUCUUUAAAGCUAGGUUUAGAGUACCUUGUUGAGUGGGAAUAAAGAUUUUCUUCUAAGGGAAGUUUUGAAUGUAGGUCAUAGGAGGGCAGAAAGGAUAUAAAAUAGCUGCUGAUGCACAUGAUGGCUUUUAUGGGCAAGGAAAAUGAGAGCUGUAAUGUUUUAAUGUUUUGGGAAAAAAACUUUAUCCAUGACAUGAAAAACAAGCUUAAAUUAAGAAAUAUUGGGUUAUACUGAAGCCCUAAGGGAUUGAAGUCAGUAGAGAAUAGUCAUUCCUCUGGAAAAAUAAAGGAGGUACUCCAUAGAUUAACUUAGCAUUGCUCUAGAACAAGAUCUUGUUACUUAGAAAGCCAGUGUGCUGACAGCUGUGCGCCUACUUAGAAUGUAUAGCAUGGAAAAAAAAUAUAAAAUAAUAAAUUUUAAGCUUAUGUCUUAAAUGUGAAGAAAUAAGAUGCUGUAUUUGUGUAAUGGACUUGUUUUGGUGUAUUGAUGGUAAAUUACUUCUCAGUGUUUAAGAUCAUUUAUGAGUGUAACCAUGUCUAUAAAUUGUGUACCACUAUUUUAUAUGAAGCCAGUUUGGUUGAGAUAUUAUUAGUGGACCUGCAUGCAAUUUUUAUGGCUAAGAAAGCAAAUUUUAAAUUGAAGUGCAUAAAAUGAGGAACGAACAUUUUCCAAAGGAAUUUGCUCUGACGUGAAAGAAAUUCUUGGUGAGACCUCUAAUCUCCUAUGCUUGAUAUAGGAGAUGAGCCUAAAGGAAGGAAAGAAGGUGAAUUCUCAACAGGUGGCAUAGACAGAAUAUACUUUAUAAUGACCUGCCUUGUUCUGGGAGUUUUAAGUAUCACUGGUAACAGAACUGGACUAGGUCUGUGCAUGACCUAGUAUGACUAGUCUUACUUUCUAGAAUAUAGUUUCACUUAAUGAAUUUUUUAUAUUUUUGUACAUUUUUAUAUUUUCAUACAUUUUAAUUCAACUUUUAGUUUUUAUUAUGACAUUUUAUUAAUAAAACUUAUUUUAUAUAAUGCAUUGUAUACUGAAAAAUGAGUAUUCAAGUUAUUUUACCGGUUCCAUGAGUAAUGUAUUUUCUAUUCACAAUAUUUUCUUCUACAGUCUGUAUAAAUGUGCUGUAUAAAAUUUAUAUGUUAUAACAAUAAAUUAUUCUCU
Molecule: long non-coding RNA, 2756 nt
Organism: Taeniopygia guttata (zebra finch)
Lineage: Eukaryota; Metazoa; Chordata; Aves; Passeriformes; Estrildidae
Source: Ensembl